CUCAAGCCCCUGGCAAAAGAAAAAAAAAAAUAUAAAUAUUUUCAAUUUUCAUAUAUUAUUGGAGCUGUUUGAUAUGUGAUUUACUAAUUCUUGCAAAGGAAUUUAGGAGGAGGUUGUGUUAAAUUGAAAUACCUCUCGUUAAAAUGAAAUUGGAUUUUACUAAGAAAGGUCCUCUUAGGAAGGAAUUAAGGCAUGUUUUGAAUAUCGACGAAAUAACGGAUGGUUCAAAAAACCCACCCGAGGAAAUUAUUAUUGAAAAGAAUCCUAACACAUUAGAAGUAAAUAAGACAGGAAACCAGAACUUAGAUUCAGCUGAUAUAAAUGAUUUGUUUCAGUUACAACUUGGAAAUGCAAAAUUUGUUUGGCUAGACAAAUUAAAAGUGGGUCUUUUAAUAAUACUUAUUAUUGUGUACAUUGGUUUCCUGAUUAAAAGUCUCAUAUAUGAAAUAAAGAGGAUCAGGGAUGUUCAGCACAUGGUAAAUAGGAUGAGGCCAAUAAUUGCAGCUCUCUAUAAGAUGGAUACAAAUGUUGCUAAAGAAGUGCAGAGAGCUGUCAACUCUUAUAGUACUUACAAUUUGCCCUUGCCAGAGGAAGGGUACACUCAUUUUUAGAUGCCUUCUUAACUAUUCUUGUGUAGAGAGAAUCAAGUAAGGAUUCUGUCGUAGUAGUGAUAAACAUAGCAAAAUGCAUAACAUGUUUAUGAAUAUUGAUUAAUGUUAUUGUAGGUUGACGUUCUUGUCAAAUAAGGUAGAGGAUAGGAAAUGUAAUCCCGAUCUCGCGACAUCACGUGCCAUUUUUUAGAUUUACCUGAAGCGUAACAUGACGAGAUGUCGUAGGAUAAACGAGAUCGGUCGUAGUAUCAGAAAAGUGAAUAAAUGCAACCGCAGUGUAGAUAUAUUUGAAAAUCCCUCUAAUUGUUAACAUCGCUUUACUCAUAAGGACA
Pieris brassicae (large cabbage white) is the source of this 943-nucleotide long non-coding RNA. RefSeq lists it as uncharacterized. The transcript is spliced from 3 exons. Lineage: Eukaryota; Metazoa; Arthropoda; Insecta; Lepidoptera; Pieridae. The record is from RefSeq and is a predicted model, not a curated record.